RNAcentral lists this long non-coding RNA (605 nucleotides) under Salmo salar (Atlantic salmon). RNAcentral describes it as "lncRNA (ENSSSAG00000088355.1, ENSSSAG00020046949.1)". The record is from RNAcentral. Lineage: Eukaryota; Metazoa; Chordata; Actinopteri; Salmoniformes; Salmonidae.
CCAACCGCUCAACUCUGCUCACAUCCUCUGAAUGGGACACGUUUGAAUACAGACAAAAGCCUCUCAUUUUAAUAUGUGUCCGCAGUGGUUCUGUGUAGCCUAGUUAUGCUAUUAUAUUUGAGACCAGUGUAUUGCAGUGAAUUUCAUCUGACUUAAUAAGUAAAAUAUCUUUGCGUAGUAAACAGAGUAACAAUGAGUCCCAGGCAGUUCGCAAUACCAGAGGGGGGCAUCGUUUACUAGGCUACCUAAAUUAUUGGGAUCAUCUGGGUUACCACCAGUGUUUGGAAUACAUUGAGCUCGUCAACAAAACAGACCAUGGGACGCCUACCGAGAUUCUUCAAAGUAGCCACCCUUUGCCUUGAUGACAGCUUUGCACACGCUUGUCAUUCUCUCAACCAGCUUCACCUGGAAUGCUUUUCCAACAUUCUUGAAGGAGUUCCCACAUAUGCUGAGCACUUGUUGGCUGCUUUCCCUUCACUCUGCGAUCCAACUCAUCCCAAACCAUCUCAGUUGGGUUGAGGCUAGGUGAUUGUGGAGGCCAGGUCAUCUGAUGCAGCACUCCAUCACUCUCCUUCUUGGUCAAAUAGCCCUUACACAGCCUGGAG